GCAUGCCUCUUUGCAUUUCUUGAGCCUGACAAGUGCCUCUCCAUGAUUUGACGAACAAUUUUGCUAGUUACCAAGGUAAUGGUGACUUUUAUUUGUGAACCGCGUAUAAAUUUACCCUUCAAAUCAAUUUCACUUUACUAUUUUCCCAAUUUCUUCAGCAAAUCCUUCAAUUCUCUGCAACUUCUCCUCCUAACAAAACUUUUGAUUUUCGACAGCAAACUUCUCUACUUCUUCCAUUACACUUUGAUUUAUCCCAUCAUGUCUUCUGCUAUUUCUAUCUGCGAUAACUUAUUUAUUGUCAUUAAAUAAUACGACAUCACGGUAGCCAUGACUUCAUCCCUUCCAUCAAACGCCGGUGCCAGGACUUCCAUUGGCGGGGGACUGUCCAAGAAAAGCAAACCCAAAGGUUUUGACACUGAGCCUCCUACUACAGCCACGACCAUUCCUAAAGAAUGGUCUUUUAACAAGUAUCUUCAUAUCCAGAACCCAUCCUCUGAUCCAAACAAUGACAGUGAUAGAGCAUUCAGCAAGUAUCCUUCAUCCAUUUAGCCGACCAGUAUGCCUAUUGAGAAGGAGGACUGCGACUGGAACAAUAUUGAGGUUUUGGCCCUCGUUGACUUGGAGAUGGUGAAUUUCAUCAAACUAGGGUAUGUUCUUAUUUAUAUAUAGCCUUUUACCCUCAGUCUUUGAAAGGAGAUUGACCUUGUUAUCCUCGAGGUUUGCCGGAAUUACCAAAUCUGUUUUGCUCAAGUCGGUCCGGUAAUAUGGCAUAUGGUAGCGUGCCUCCGGUACCUAUCCUCCCAGGCACAAAAAGAUCUCACCCUUGCGCAUCUAAUGCAUCUUUAUGAUCCCAAAAUCUUUCGAGGAGGCGUCAUCAAACUUAGUAAAUAUAUUCACAUUGACAUCAUCACCAUCAUAAAGGAUGAAAACGAUCGUGGUUGGAUGGAGGGAUUUGUUGUCAUCGCUCCCGGGGACAUUGUAUCCUUGUCAGAAUAUCUAAUUCCUCAAACUUGGAACUCCACACCUUGAAAGAAAUUUCAAUAAAGAAAACUGAAAGUGCAAGAAUCAUGGCCUUACCAAUGGGUCAUCUAUCUGUUUGAUCAUCAAAGUUUUGCUCGACCCAAAGGUAGUCUAAAAAUAACUUCAGCAAGUCCUUGACCGGAAAAGGGCUUGUAAUGCAGCAUCUGCUUCAGGUGAAGCUGCCUCAUCUGUCAGUCUCCAAACCCAAGAGAAUGAGGCUAGAAGAAAACACUCUUCUUAAGUUGGGGAGAAGGUGCAGCAUCCGAUCGCAGAAGAAAUUUCUGAAGGGCAUGAUACAGUGGUCCUUGAAACCAAAGAGGAUGCUGAAAUGGUUUCUCUUCAAAGACGAAGAAGAAAUGAUAGAGCUCCAAUAGUCCACUCAGAUGAAGCGAAUAGACUCUUUCAAGAGUCUGAAUUGGAUGAAUAAUUGACUCUUCCUUCCGGGCUUCAUUUACUUCUACUGGUCAGAAGGGUAUUACUCAAAGUACUGCCCCAACUCCUGAUCUACCACCGAUCGCUGCUGAUCGAGAAUAAGAUAUCCGUUCUCCCAGUCACCAGACCAUGAAAACAUAGAAAAUGCCUUUCCGACUUCAAUCCGAGAUCCUAAUGUUAAACAUAGUGUUACUAUUACAGUUCCGGAUGAAUGUCACAUUCUUUCCAAAUUGGUUGGGGUAGCCAAUUGUAUGAAACCGCUGGCUACAGAGAAAGGCUGGAAGAAAAUGGAUGCUCUUUCUACUGAGUGUAAACCCAACAAUAACAUGCACCUUUCUGCUUAAGUACCUCUUCGAUUCAUCUCUUUUUCUCUGUUCGUAUCAUUUACUUAUUUCUCUGGUAACCUUACAAUUUACCUUUCAGGCUAACCUUCUUACUUCCAAGGGUCUCCAAAGGAUAAUAAUAGAGAAGGAAGAACUUCGAUCGGAGCGGGACCAACUUGCUAAGCGCCUUCCAGCCUUAGAAGCUAAACUUACACAAAUGGAAGAGCUCGAGGCUCGGGAGCAAACAGAGCAAGAAAAAAGAGCUCAGCGUCAAGAAGUGACUCAGUUAUAUGCUGAACUUGCUGAACUAAAAGGAGUAGGCAGAGUUACAUGAUGCUCUUACUUCAGCUGUUGCACGAGAGUCUGCUUCCAUGGAAAGGGUUUGAACCUUGAAUGUUGACUUGUGCUCUAAAACCGAGAAAGCUACUACGGUCGAAGAGAAAAGGGCCAAAAUAGAGGAAAGACUCCGAAAGGUCAUGGAACAAAAUCAUAAACGCGCAUAAAGUAGUUCUGACUUGGCGGAGGCCUACAAGAUUUUAAUGUUUGACCACGAGUGGCUGUAGUUGAAGAAUCAAGAACUUCAAACAAGAUUCCGAGCUCAAAAGGACUCAUUCGUGCUUGAAAAAACUUAUGUUGUUUACAUCAUGCAAAGGAAGACUAUGGAGGAUGCCAAUAUUGACAUUGAAAAUAUAGAUGACUACAUUGCCGAGGCUCGUGCUCUAAAAACAACCUUUUUUGAAAAUAUACUUGUCGGGCCUACUGCUUCAAGUUCUUCAUAGACCUGCUACGAGUCUUCUGAACUUGAAGAAGAAGAUGAAGAAGAUGUUGAGCAUGCUGAUGAAGAAUCAUAUGAGCAACCUUCGGCUCCGGAGAAUGUGAGCCCGGGGAAUGCUCCAACCUUCGAAGCCUCCCAACCCUCAACAUAUGCUAAUAAGGCAGAUUAGUUUAUCUUGUAAAUUCUUUUUCUUAAAACUCUUGUAUUUGUUCUUGGCUUUCUUUUGGGGCCCAAAACUUUGAAAUAAAAGAGAUUUU
Molecule: long non-coding RNA, 2807 nt
Organism: Nicotiana tabacum (common tobacco)
Lineage: Eukaryota; Viridiplantae; Streptophyta; Magnoliopsida; Solanales; Solanaceae
Source: RefSeq, a predicted model, not a curated record